GACAUUAUUGCACAGACUCAGGUUAAAGAAAAUCCACAGGGAGAAGAAUGUUUUGGCUGUGGCUAGAAAACAGCAGGGUACUGAGUCUGCACUGAAAUAUCCUUGGCCAGGUGAGACACAGCAUCUUCACGGAAGCUUGUAGCUGAUUCAUUAGCUCAGAAUGAAAGAGCUAUAAGAGGUGAAGCCAAUCAUUUGAUCGUAAAGCAUCGUCAAUGUGAAGGAAACUGCCUUUGAGCCCUCUGCCACCGCCCGUAUUGGGGGGAAUCAUGCAAACCACACCGAGCAGCUCUCAAGCCCAAGUUCAUCUGCCUUACAGUUGAGCUACACUCAUCAUGUACAUGGAGGGAAGGAGAAACACCAUUUGAUAUGUGUGUCUACAAACACUUAUCCCUGACAAGGCCGAGCAAAGUACAGAAGUAGCGUUCCACCUAACGUGCUGGGAUAUAUGAGUCUUCGAAAUGGUGAUCUCUAUCUCAAAAACCAUUUAACCGUCCUAUGAUAGUGCAGUUACUGUGGUUAUAAGGCUUUCCUUCCUAGAAUGAUAGAGCGCAGUAAAAUGUCUUAUAAAACAACACAGAAGUUAUUGCUUACCAGAUUCUGACUCUAGUAAAUUUAUCGUGCCGUAUCUUUCCACGAGUUCUUCAUUCUCUUCUCCUUUUCCAUGUGUGUAAUGAGUUCCACAAAACAGAUAGCAUUGCUUCCUUUUCAUUAAUAAGAG
Molecule: long non-coding RNA, 718 nt
Organism: Gallus gallus (chicken)
Lineage: Eukaryota; Metazoa; Chordata; Aves; Galliformes; Phasianidae
Source: Ensembl